CAGCCGCCGCGGGAAUACGUAGGUGGCAAGCGUUGUCCGGAAUUAUUGGGCGUAAAGCGCGCGCAGGCGGUUUCUUAAGUCUGAUGUGAAAGCCCCCGGCUUAACCGGGGAGGGUCAUUGGAAACUGGGAGACUUAGAGUGCAGAAGAGGAGAGUGGAAUUCCAUGUGUAGCGGUGAAAUGCGUAGAUAUAUGGAGGAACACCAGUGGCGAAGGCGACUCUCUGGUCUGUAACUGACGCUGAGGCGCGAAAGCGUGGGGAGCAAACAGGAUUAGAUACCCCGGUAGUCCCUGUCUCUUAUU
Molecule: ribosomal RNA, 301 nt
Filed under: uncultured bacterium
Lineage: Bacteria
Description: partial 16S ribosomal RNA
Rfam family: Bacterial small subunit ribosomal RNA
Source: RNAcentral